UCUACGUGAGGCAGCAGUGGGGAAUCUUAGACAAUGGGCGCAAGCCUGAUCUAGCCAUGCCGCGUGAGUGAUGAAGGCCUUAGGGUCGUAAAGCUCUUUCGCUGGGAAGAUAAUGACGGUACCCAGUAA
This 129-nucleotide ribosomal RNA is filed under the name uncultured Loktanella sp. RNAcentral describes it as "partial 16S ribosomal RNA". It matches the Rfam family "Bacterial small subunit ribosomal RNA", at positions 338 to 485 of the family's 1533-position model. The record is from RNAcentral. Lineage: Bacteria; Pseudomonadati; Pseudomonadota; Alphaproteobacteria; Rhodobacterales; Roseobacteraceae.